CUUAUGCCGGCGACCGGCGGACGGGUGCGUAACGCGUAUGUAACCUACCUUUGACAGGGGGAUAACAUCGAGAAAUUGGUACUAAUACCCCAUAACAUCACCGGAGGCAUCUUCGGUGGUUGAAAACUCAGGUGGUCAGAGAUGGACAUGCGUUGUAUUAGGUAGACGGCGGGGUAACGGCCCACCGUGCCGACGAUGCGUAGGGGUUCUGAGAGGAAGGCCCCCCACACUGGUACUGAGACACGGACCAGACUCCUACGGAAGGCAGCAG
Molecule: ribosomal RNA, 271 nt
Filed under: uncultured bacterium
Lineage: Bacteria
Description: partial 16S ribosomal RNA
Rfam family: Bacterial small subunit ribosomal RNA
Source: RNAcentral